GUAGCUAAAUUGAGAAAGCACUUGUCUAGCAUACAAUAGUUGUGAGUUCAAAUCUCACC
This 59-nucleotide transfer RNA is filed under the name Aedes aegypti (yellow fever mosquito). It matches the Rfam family "tRNA", at positions 7 to 64 of the family's 71-position model. Rfam says of the family: Transfer RNA (tRNA) molecules are approximately 80 nucleotides in length. Their secondary structure includes four short double-helical elements and three loops (D, anti-codon, and T loops). The record is from Rfam by way of RNAcentral. Lineage: Eukaryota; Metazoa; Arthropoda; Insecta; Diptera; Culicidae.